UACGAAGGGGGCUAGCGUUGUUCGGAAUUACUGGGCGUAAAGCGCACGUAGGCGGAUUUGUUAGUCAGGGGUGAAAUCCCGGGGCUCAACCUCGGAACUGCCUUUGAUACUGCAAGUCUCGAGUCCGAGAGAGGUGAGUGGAAUUCCUAGUGUAGAGGUGAAAUUCGUAGAGAUUAGGAAGAACACCAGUGGCGAAGGCGGCUCACUGGCUCGGUACUGACGCUGAGGUGCGAAAGAGUGGGGAGCAAACAGG
Molecule: ribosomal RNA, 253 nt
Filed under: uncultured bacterium
Lineage: Bacteria
Description: partial 16S ribosomal RNA
Rfam family: Bacterial small subunit ribosomal RNA
Source: RNAcentral